This 63-nucleotide transfer RNA is filed under the name Paridea biplagiata. Its description in RNAcentral is "tRNA-Phe". Lineage: Eukaryota; Metazoa; Arthropoda; Insecta; Coleoptera; Chrysomelidae. The record is from RNAcentral.
AUUUAAAUAGCUUAUAUAGAGCACGAUUUUGAAGAAAUUGGGGAAACUUAAAGUUUUUAAAUA